This 1353-nucleotide ribosomal RNA is filed under the name metagenome. RNAcentral's name for it is "bacterial SSU rRNA". It matches the Rfam family "Bacterial small subunit ribosomal RNA", at positions 8 to 1382 of the family's 1533-position model. The record is from RNAcentral.
AGAGUUUGAUCCUGGCUCAGGACGAACGCUGGCGGCGCGCCUAACACAUGCAAGUCGAACGAGCGAGAGAGAGCUUGCUUUCUUGAGCGAGUGGCGAACGGGUGAGUAACGCGUGAGGAGCCUGCCUCAAAGAGGGGGACAACAGUUGGAAACGACUGCUAAUACCGCAUAAGCCCACGGCUCGGCAUCGAGCAGAGGGAAAAGGAGCAAUCCGCUUUGAGAUGGCCUCGCGUCCGAUUAGCUAGUUGGUGAGGUAACGGCCCACCAAGGCGACGAUCGGUAGCCGGACUGAGAGGUUGAACGGCCACAUUGGGACUGAGACACGGCCCAGACUCCUACGGGAGGCAGCAGUGGGGAAUAUUGCACAAUGGGGGAAACCCUGAUGCAGCGACGCCGCGUGGAGGAAGAAGGUCUUCGGAUUGUAAACUCCUGUUGUUGAGGAAGAUAAUGACGGUACUCAACAAGGAAGUGACGGCUAACUACGUGCCAGCAGCCGCGGUAAAACGUAGGUCACAAGCGUUGUCCGGAAUUACUGGGUGUAAAGGGAGCGCAGGCGGGAAGACAAGUUGGAAGUGAAAUCCAUGGGCUCAACCCAUGAACUGCUUUCAAAACUGUUUUUCUUGAGUAGUGCAGAGGUAGGCGGAAUUCCCGGUGUAGCGGUGGAAUGCGUAGAUAUCGGGAGGAACACCAGUGGCGAAGGCGGCCUACUGGGCACCAACUGACGCUGAGGCUCGAAAGUGUGGGUAGCAAACAGGAUUAGAUACCCUGGUAGUCCACACUGUAAACGAUGAUUACUAGGUGUUGGAGGAUUGACCCCUUCAGUGCCGCAGUUAACACAAUAAGUAAUCCACCUGGGGAGUACGACCGCAAGGUUGAAACUCAAAGGAGUUGACGGGGGCCCGCACAAGCAGUGGAGUAUGUGGUUUAAUUCGACGCAACGCGAAGAACCUUACCAAGUCUUGACAUCCUGCGACGCACAUAGAAAUAUGUGUUUCCUUCGGGACGCAGAGACAGGUGGUGCAUGGUUGUCGUCAGCUCGUGUCGUGAGAUGUUGGGUUAAGUCCCGCAACGAGCGCAACCCUUAUGGUCAGUUACUACGCAAGAGGACUCUGGCCAGACUGCCGUUGACAAAACGGAGGAAGGUGGGGAUGACGUCAAAUCAUCAUGCCCUUUAUGACUUGGGCUACACACGUACUACAAUGGCGUUAAACAAAGAGAGGCAAGACCGCGAGGUGGAGCAAAACUCAGAAACAACGUCCCAGUUCGGACUGCAGGCUGCAACUCGCCUGCACGAAGUCGGAAUUGCUAGUAAUCGCAGAUCAGCAUGCUGCGGUGAAUACGUUCCCGGGCCUU